This 730-nucleotide ribosomal RNA is filed under the name uncultured bacterium. Its description in RNAcentral is "bacterial SSU rRNA". It matches the Rfam family "Bacterial small subunit ribosomal RNA", at positions 771 to 1500 of the family's 1533-position model. The record is from RNAcentral.
AACAGGAUUAGAUACCCUGGGUAGUCCACGCCGUAAACGAUGUCGAUUUGGGGGUUGUGCCCUUGAGGCGUGGCUUCCGGAGCUAACGCGUUAAAUCGACCGCCUGGGGAGUACGGCCGCAAGGUUAAAACUCAAAUGAAUUGACGGGGGCCCGCACAAGCGGUGGAGCAUGUGGUUUAAUUCGAUGCAACGCGAAGAACCUUACCUGGUCUUGACAUCCACAGAACUUAGCAGAGAUGCUUUGGUGCCUUCGGGAACUGUGAGACAGGUGCUGCAUGGCUGUCGUCAGCUCGUGUUGUGAAAUGUUGGGUUAAGUCCCGCAACGAGCGCAACCCUUAUCCUUUGUUGCCAGCGGUCCGGCCGGGAACUCAAAGGAGACUGCCAGUGAUAAACUGGAGGAAGGUGGGGAUGACGUCAAGUCAUCAUGGCCCUUACGACCAGGGCUACACACGUGCUACAAUGGCAUAUACAAAGAGAAGCGACCUCGCGAGAGCAAGCGGACCUCAUAAAGUAUGUCGUAGUCCGGAUUGGAGUCUGCAACUCGACUCCAUGAAGUCGGAAUCGCUAGUAAUCGUAGAUCAGAAUGCUACGGUGAAUACGUUCCCGGGCCUUGUACACACCGCCCGUCACACCAUGGGAGUGGGUUGCAAAAGAAGUAGGUAGCUUAACCUUCGGGAGGGCGCUUACCACUUUGUGAUUCAUGACUGGGGUGAAGUCGUAACAAGGUACC